RNAcentral lists this transfer RNA (77 nucleotides) under Methylobacterium sp. RNAcentral describes it as "tRNA-Met". It matches the Rfam family "tRNA". From Rfam's summary of the family: Transfer RNA (tRNA) molecules are approximately 80 nucleotides in length. Their secondary structure includes four short double-helical elements and three loops (D, anti-codon, and T loops). RNAcentral also lists the same sequence under 25 other names. Lineage: Bacteria; Pseudomonadati; Pseudomonadota; Alphaproteobacteria; Hyphomicrobiales; Methylobacteriaceae. The record is from RNAcentral.
GGCGGGGUAGCUCAGUUGGUUAGAGCAGAGGAAUCAUAAUCCUUGUGUCGGGAGUUCAAAUCUCUCCCUCGCUACCA